RNAcentral lists this long non-coding RNA (7424 nucleotides) under Homo sapiens (human). RNAcentral describes it as "HSALNT0141178". Lineage: Eukaryota; Metazoa; Chordata; Mammalia; Primates; Hominidae. The record is from RNAcentral.
GACAGCCACCUCUGAGAAGCGUUAGGCAGCCCGAGAAGGGGAAAUCCUGAAGGCAGUGGGGGGAGGUGGCCACCAGCGACUUGCCACCCCCUCCCGAGACAGAGCCAGCGCAGGAGGGUGUGACCAGCAUCAGGGAGGCGGGGAGACACAGUGACAGGACGGUGACAGUUUGGGUGUCCUUUCCGCCCGUGCGCGCGACGGGACGGAGGGGCAGGGGUUUCCUCCUUGGGAACGCUGUCUGUCUGGCAGCCAAGGAAGGCCGCGGCCUCUGGGGAUCCCCGCCCGUAUCGAGCGCCCCUUGCCGAGGGAACCUGGCUCGGCGAGCGGUGCGCGCAGGCUCGGAGGCGUGAGAGCGGGCCGGGCGGCGGCGCGGCCGGGAGCGGGUGACUCACCGGGCGGGGGCGGCUGGGGGCGGCUAGGGGCGGCCGCGGAGCCAACUGCAGCAGCAGCGGGCCCAGCCUGCCCCGCAACAGCCAGCGCGGCUCCUGGAGGGAAACGAGCAAGGCGGCCCCGCAGGUGUGGCGCGGCCCUGGGAGGGCGCGUGCGAGCGCUGCUUUGUUUGGUGCCCGCACAGCCCCGGGCUCCAGGCCUGAGCGCCAACCUUCCCGAGCUGAGUCACGGCUGCAGAGCCCGAGGGCGGCCAUACGGCCCCGCCCGGAAGGAUGAGGCCCCUUCCUGAAGCUGGCGAGUCCGAUGCGGUGGCAGGGACAAAAGCCAGGGGAAGGUGGCUUCUAUUCUACAAAGCCCUUUAGGGAAGGGGGGAGUCAGGCCGCCCUCACCCAGUGCAGGUCCGUCACGAUGGUCACCCAGAGCACUCACGCAGAAAGCCAGCUUGCAGCCGCCAGCCCUGAGGAUGCCGCCCCCAAAGGGCUCAUUGCUCUAAUCACCCGUCCAGGGGCUUGAGGCAAAGCUCCAAGACAGACCUGUAGCAGCAUGGCCCAAAAAGUUCCUCUGCUGCCCCAGUCCCAUACCUGCCUGAGGUACGGGGGUUCAGGCUGAGUCGGCUGACCUGGAGUCAUCUGGAAGCCUUGUCAGAAAUGCAGAUUCUGCAGUGCUGUUCCCAGAGGAUGAGAUUCAGCAGAACUGGGUGUUGGAUAUUAUAUGAAGAGAUUUGCAAGUGUUAUUUUACGUAAUUCGCACUUUACAAAGGAGGAAACUGCAGCGCAGGUACCAAGGUUGCCCCAUCUCGGUCCAGGCCUGCUCCCGGCGAGCCACUCGCCCUUGACCACGCCUCCUCUCUCCUGAUUGGCUGUCAGGCAUGAGUCAGAAGGAAGCCAUCUGCAACCCAAGGAGAGAGCUCUUGCCAGACUCUGACCCUGCUGGCAUCUUGAUCUUGAUUUUGGAUUUUCUAGCCUCCAGAUCCAUGAAAAAAUAAAUUCCUUUCCUGAUGUUUAUAAUAUUUUGUUAUGGCAGAUUAAGCUCACUAAGACAAUAAUCAAAGACCUAUAAAACCGUGAACUUCUUGAGACAAUGAGGAUGCCUCUAACAGACUUGGGAAGAAAUCCUGCACAAAGAGCUGGGGAAAAAAGGGAAGAAAAGCACAUAGAAUACUCCUUCAAGGCAGGCAUUGGCAGACCUUCCACCGUGCACCAGGCUCUGUGCUAAGAUUCACCCUGGAGUAACCCUGCCUCUGGGGGUGAAGUUGCUAUAUCUGGCUGCGUUUUGGCCAGCCGACCCUCUAGGCAGCCCUUAAUUCUUGCUUCUCAAACUUACUUCCAAGGACAGAGAAAGAUGACCACUGCCCUCACCCCACUAAAGAAGCCCCAGCACUUAGCAAGCACUUAUGGCCCAGAGCAGACUGUCUCUACUUCAUUUCACUCUCCACACCCAGACUUGGACCACACUUGGAAAAGAACCAGCCAGUCCUGGAGGCUGCAUAUUGUGGAUAGCAGGACUCCACUCACAUCUCAAAGCUCCUCCCUGCCCAUUCCCAUGGUCCCUCCAGCCCUUGGGCAAUACUACCAAUAAGAAGGAGAAAUGAGCUGGAUUUCACUUCCUUUGGAGCAGGUGUGAAUAAACAGAAUUGUCCCAAACUUGGGCAGCAGAAGUGGGGAAAGAAGAAAGGCAACCGGCCAGGCGCGGUGGCUCACGCCUGUAAUCCCAGCAUUUGGGGAGGCCCAGGCGGAUCACCUGAGGUCAGGAGUUUGAGAACAACCUGGCCAACAUGGUGAAACCCAUCUCUACUAAAAAAAUACAAAAAUUAGCCAGGCAUGAUAGCUACUUGGGAGGCUGAGGCAGGAGAAUCUCUUGAACCCGAGAGGUGGAGUUUGCAGUGAGCUGAGAUCAUGCCACUGCACUCCAGCCUUGGUGACAGAGCGAGACUCCAUCUCAAAAAAAAAAAAAAAAAAAAAAAACCAGAAGAGAGCAACCAAUACUUAUGAAGCCUCUGAUAGUUACUCAAAUGCCACCAGUAAACCCACGAGACGCACAGGCUGGGAUUGGUAAGGCAACUUGCCCAAGGUCACCCAGCUAGAAAAGGCUAGAGGCGGGCGAGAGGGGAGCUCCAGAACCACCCCAAACACACUGCCUCCCCCACACCACUGCCUCCCCAACACUGCCUUCAAGAAAGAGAAAUCGAAGGACCUGGACAAUUUGCAAGCUGACUGCUCAGCUUCUGGACUCAUCCACCGCGUUUGUCAGAAGUCCCUGCAGAUGCCCGGCCACUAUGCCAGUACUCUCGUCUCGGGCUGCACUUGGAACUGGGUGGACAGCUGUAGAAGGACUACUAGUGCCUGGGCCCACCCCUUCUCCCCACCCCCAGUGCCUCACUUAACUGUCUGAGAUUCAGCCUAAGCACUGGGCUUUUAAAGUUCCCAGGUGACCGUUGCCCUCCGGGAUCCAUAUUCUCUUCAUCUGUAAGAUGGGGCUAAUGAUGUCUCCCAAACAGGGUGGUUGUAAGGAUGAAGUGUGAGGGGCCUAGGAAGGGAGGCCUGGAAAGAGGGAAGAGGACUGCUCAUCGCUGGGCUGAGGCUGCAGCCACCCUGUGCUAGGUGCUGUGCUACAGCCUGGGUCACUCUGCCAGGACCUAUAGGCUCCCUGCUUGGGGCAUGGUGCCCUGACCCUCGGCUCACGUCUGCCCAGAUCCUUACAGCUGAUGGAACCCUUUGCUCCAAGAGACGAGGUUGGCACACCGUGGUCUCAAUAAAUGUUUGUCGAGUAAACAGAUGAAGAUGUCCUUCGAUCUUCACAACAGUUUUGAGAAGCAAAAUGAAAAAGGACUCUCCCUUGACCCAAUAGAAAGGGAAGUUUGGACUCACCUCAAGGUGCUGUCACUAGCCAUGUGUUCCAGAGCAGCAACAUAACUUCUCAAAGCCUCUGUCACUUCAUUUGUAAAGCAGGACUUUGUCACUAUUGCUAGGUUAUAGGACUAUCCUGAAGAGCUGCUGAGACAACAUACGGGGGAAACAUUUCUAUAAAUUAUUUUUUGAUGAGGGAAUUGAGGUUUAUAGGGGUUAAGUGACUUGCCCACAGUCAAUCAGUAAAUUGUGAAGCCAAAACUUAAACUCGGGACCAGAGAGUUCCUGGGCGUGAGACAAACAAACGAACAAACAACAACAACAACAACAAAACCCCAAAACACUCAAAUAAUAUGUGGUUGCAGAGAAGGGAUGCAGAUAUUUGAAGAACAGACCUGAGGCUGUGUCAGCCCCCAAGGCACAUCUGAUGGGGAGUGUGUUGAGUUGAACUUUGCAGGAGGGAAGGGCUAGGCCUUUGGUAAAGUUUUUUUUUUUUUUUUUUUUUUUUUGAGACAGGGUCUCCCUCUAUCACCCAGGCUGGAGUGCAGUGGCACCAUCACAGCUCACUGCAGCCUCGACCUCCUGGGUUCAGCCAAUCCUCCCACCUCAGCCUCCUGAGUAACUGGGAUCACAGGCGCAUGCCACCACAUACCUGACUAAUUUUUUUUUAAUAGAGGUCUCACUGUGUUGCCCAGGCUGGUCUCAAAUUCCUGGGCUCAAGCAAUCCUCCUGCCUAGGCCUCCCAAACUGCUGGGAUUACAAACAUGAGCCACUGCGCCUGCCAGUGAAGAUGCUUUUUGAUAGGAGGACCAGCCUAGGAGAAAAUUCAGAGAUGAAUAAGCAAGGUAUUUUGUUUGUCCACAACAGAGAACCUGACAGGGAAGCUAAGAGGGAGGAAGCAGCUGUGGGGGAGGAACAUUUGUCAUUUCCAGAGGACACUGCUGCCAGGAGAGGGGCUCUCUGUAGCCCAGAGAGCCGUGGAGAGAGGGCUCCCCAACUCACAGCGCAGGAGGAGGGGAGUCAGAGCUGCUCUGCGCACAAGCUGCCCUGGAGGCACACUAGACAGGGAAGGGGCCGUGCAUCACUGACCACCUGUCAUGUCACCUGUGAUCACAGUAGGAUCGGGUGAAGGCCUCAUACCCCCUGGUGUGAUUGUCAUUUUCCACCCCAUUGUACAGGUGGGGCUCGGAGAGUUAGGUCACUGGCCACUUCCUAGAAUCCCUCCACCCCAACACACCCUGGCUGCCCCCCUAGUGCAUGCUGGGACCCCUCCAGCCCCAGAAUCCACAUGUCUGCUCUCCCCAGUGAACUCCAGGGUAGCUCCAUGCGGGGAGCCUGGCAGGCAGGCUGGCAUUACCUAAUUGCUGGCCGGCUUCUUUUAUCCCUUCAUUUUUUCAAGCUGCCUGGUUCUAAAAGUCUCAGACAGACAAAUGAGACUCCAGCCUUGUUCUGUUCGAGCUCCAGCAAAAGGAGGAGAUCACAGGCUGUCGCCUCAAUGGGGCAACAGCCAGAUCUAAAGGCACAAAGCACUGGGGGCAGCGGAUGUCUUUAGCGAACGACAAAGCCCAGGCCAAUGCCCUACUUACGGCUGAGACUUUUCUUCUUGGGCUGUGUCUUGUGCUGUGAGGUGCCUGGGGUCAGCACUGCUAGUGCCAGGACUUGAUCAUCAGCCAGCCUCCCUGGGGAGAUGAGCCCUUGUUAGGGCCAAACCUCAGCAUCCUAAAAGCCUCUCCUACCUCAACCAGGCAGGUGUUUCUGGGUUCAGGGGAGAAAAAUCUAGUCAGAGGAAUGCAUACUGCUGCAUGGCCUCAAACAGGCCUUCAGGCUUGGGGACUGGAGCCGACUCCCCAGGGCAGAAUAGGUACAGGCUGCCCAGCUGUAAAAGCAGGGCUCUGCCCCUCUGGGCUCCAGCUCCAAGGCUGUGGCACCUACCUGGGAAAGAAAAGUCCCUGGAGAAGCCGAGCAGAUCUGGCCUCGUCCUGUCCUUGUCCUGGCUGGUAGGUGGAGUGGAUAGAGCGUCCCUGACUCCCUCCUUGAACUGUGAGCAUCUCCAGGGCGGGAACUGUCCCCCAUAGGACUUGCUAUCUCCUGGCACAUGUUAGCAUUUACUGGGGCCAAGCACUGUUCUGAGUGUUUUAAGUAAACUAAUCCACUUAAUCCUCACCUCAACCCUAGGAGGUGUUACUCCCAUUUUUCAGAUAGAGAAACUGACACACAGAAAGAUUAGCUUCAAAAAGCUCAUAAAUGGGGAAUUGAAUCCAGGCAGCCUGGCUCCAGAACCCAAAUUAUUAGCCAUUAUACUGUACUGAAUAAGUAAAUAAUACAUGAAUAUAUGAAGAAAGGAAUGAACGGCUUGUAGAGAGAAUGACAUGAAAGUUCUCUGUUCAAAAGUAUUUCCUCUAUUAACAGUUUCAGGGCCUGUGAAUGCACUAUUGAAAUGCACAUUCAGUUUUAACUAAUGUGCUAUUCUCUUCAAAAAUGCUCCUAAGAAAUUGGGGUGAUAGCAAUUAUUGGCCAUGCUCUGUGGCCCCCGGAAUGUCUAGGGGAGGCCCAAGCUCUGGGAAGAACUUAAGCUAAUACCCGAGGAGGGAGAAACAAGGAGUUGGGUGUUUCUGCAGAGAACCCUGCUAGUUAUAUUAAUGAUGUGGCACAGGGACAGGAACACAGACUGUGAAGCCUCUGAGCUGGGUGUGUCUCUCACUGGCUUUCGGGCCUGGGGUGAGUCAUGCGGCCUCCCCGAGCUCCAGUGGCCCCAUCUGCCAGGGAAAUGCUGGUCCCUACCUGAUGGCUUAUGGUUAAAUAAGCUAUUGUAGUUAAUGCAUCUGGCACAGGAUAGAUGGUCAAUAAAUGGUAGCUGCUAUUGUUAUUAAACAAAUUAUAGGCAAAAAACUCAAGUCAGUAAUGAUCACCAGUCUGAGCCCCCUUCUUAAAGUGAUGCUUGCACUGGUGACCCUAUUUCUGGUCUCCUGGACACUCCAGUCAUGAUACUCCAAGGGCAAUAGCUUCUUCUCCCAGUGUCUUUCCUGGUUGUCUUCAUCCCUUCUCUUGCCACUGCCUUGGCCUGGGUUCCCACUGCCUGUCACCGGGACUCAGUCAAGUCUGAGAGAUUGAGAGCAUCUAUGAUAAAGCCAGCUGGAAGGAGCCCUGCUAAGCAGCCACCUCUGCUAAGCAGCCACCUCUGCCAAACAGUCACCUCUGCCAGUGUCCUCCUCUUUUUCUGGCUUCAACUCUUGGCACUCUAGCUUCUCUUCACUCCCCACCCCCUUUUCUCACUCUUCUCUCUCUGAUCAUUCCAUGGGUCUCUUUGGCUUUGGUUGAGCUCUAAUUAAGUUCCACAGCAGGUGGCAAUGAAGACAGCUUCUCUCCUGCAAGUGCUCAUCAAAGGGUUGUGCACAAGAAACUUGGACAAGAGGUAAAAAGAAGCCUGGCCCCUGGGGACAAGGAUGGGGCAGUCGGAGAACUCCUCGUGCAGCCAGUGCUCCGAAGGUGCAGAGUGAAGAUUUGCAGACUUGCUGUGUAUCCCGGCAUAAUGCCGUUUGUCCAUCUGCCACACUAGGACAGAAACUCUUCAUUCUGAGCAUAUGGAAGCUGAGAAGGAGGUCGGAGGCAACAGGAGCGGGAGGAGACCGGAAAGGACCAGGACAAAAUGGGGCCCUGGCACCUUCCUGGACAUGCGGCAGAGCCCCGUGGAAUCAGGGACUGAUGCAAGUGGAGUACUUAGCACACUGCCUGGCACAGAUGAGUGCUCAGUGCAUGCUGGCCUGUGGUGCUGGGUGUUAAGAGGGGCAGCUUUUAUUGGAAAGAAUAAAGAAUCAUAAGCAUAAAACAUCUGGUCACAGCCUCUCCUGCUGCCAGGGCCCUUGGUGGCUUACCAUGGUCUCAGGAGCAAAGGGCCCCCUACCAGAGCUUGAAAACCCACACAGUCACCCCAUCGACCUCCUGGCCUCCGCUCCUGCUGCUGCUCACCUGUGCCAGCCAGAAGGAAAGUACUUCCUUCAGUUCUUCAAGGGCCUCUUCUUGUCUCAAGACACUUGCACUCAGGAACUUGCUCUGUUGCACUUCCCUCCACCUAGUCAAGGCCUAAACAGCCUUAUUCUGACAGGUCAUAGUUCGCUUCCUUAAGAAAUGACCUCUGACUGUUCCUGGUUCCCACCCCAUCACGUGUGUCCCUUUGUGACCAUCUCUCCA